This 491-nucleotide ribosomal RNA is filed under the name uncultured bacterium. RNAcentral's name for it is "partial 16S ribosomal RNA". It matches the Rfam family "Bacterial small subunit ribosomal RNA", at positions 28 to 507 of the family's 1533-position model. The record is from RNAcentral.
GAUGAACGCUGGCUACAGGCUUAACACAUGCAAGUCGAGGGAAAACGACGGGGAAGCUUGCUUCCCCGGGCGUCGACCGGCGCACGGGUGAGUAACGCGUAUCCAACCUGCCUCUGACUGAGGGAUAACCCGUCGAAAGUCGGCCUAAUACCUCAUGGUAUCGUCUGCGUGCGUCCAACGACGAUUAAAGAUUUCAUCGGUCAGGGGUGGGGAUGCGUCUGAUUAGCUUGUUGGCGGGGGAACGGCCCACCAAGGCUACGAUCAGUAGGGGUUCUGAGAGGAAGGCAGCCCACAUUGGAACUGAGACACGGUCAAAACUCCUACGGGAGGCAGCAGUGUGGAAUAUUAGGCAAUGGGGGAGAGCAUUAGCCAGCCAAGUAGCGUGCAGGAAGACAGCGCUGUGGGUUUUAUGCUGCUUUUAUGCGGGGAUAAAGUGAGGGACGUGUCUCUCAUUGCAGGUACCGAAUGAAUAAGGACCGGCUAAUUCCGUG